Molecule: non-coding RNA, 30 nt
Filed under: Mus musculus (house mouse)
Lineage: Eukaryota; Metazoa; Chordata; Mammalia; Rodentia; Muridae
Source: RNAcentral
UAAUACUGCUACAGACUCAGCUCUUGGUAC